RNAcentral lists this ribosomal RNA (110 nucleotides) under Flavobacteriaceae bacterium. The record is from RNAcentral. Lineage: Bacteria; Pseudomonadati; Bacteroidota; Flavobacteriia; Flavobacteriales; Flavobacteriaceae.
AAGGGUGGUUAUAGCAUUAGGGCUCACCUCUUCCCAUUUCGAACAGAGUAGUUAAACCUAAUAGCGCAGAUGGUACUGCCAAUUGGUGGGAGAGUAUGUCGCCGCCUUCU